GUCAGUGUUACAAACGCGCAGGGUCCACCCGUUCCCAUUCCGAACACGGAAGUUAAGCUGCGCAGUGCUGAAGAUACUCGGCUGGAGACGGCCCGGGAAAAUAGGUCAAUGCUGACA
Molecule: ribosomal RNA, 117 nt
Filed under: Clostridia bacterium
Lineage: Bacteria; Bacillati; Bacillota; Clostridia
Source: RNAcentral